AUAUCAUUUCUGAAAUGCCCAAGGAAUGAAGGGAGAGGAUAUGGAUUUCUUAAACAGUUUUUGCAAGAGGAGCGGUGUCUUGUUCUGCAGGUUACCCCAGCCCCUCCGAAGUUGCCUGAUGGAGGCAACAAGCCAGAGAUCUACGUCCCCUGGUGAUGGUCCCUGUUGGAUGAAGACACUGAGGCUGAAAUAUAAGCAACUUCCCCAAGGACCUGCAGACACUAAGCAUGCAACCAGGACAAAUCUCAAAUGCAUUGUGCUAAAUGGAAGAAGCCAGACUCAG
Molecule: long non-coding RNA, 283 nt
Organism: Camelus dromedarius (Arabian camel)
Lineage: Eukaryota; Metazoa; Chordata; Mammalia; Artiodactyla; Camelidae
Exons: 3
Source: RefSeq, a predicted model, not a curated record